Molecule: microRNA precursor, 81 nt
Filed under: Petromyzon marinus (sea lamprey)
Lineage: Eukaryota; Metazoa; Chordata; Hyperoartia; Petromyzontiformes; Petromyzontidae
Description: microRNA pma-mir-4586 precursor
Source: miRBase by way of RNAcentral
CCAGGCCCAUGCCAGCCUCACCGGGCCCUCGCGCUGGCGUUGUCUUGUGCAAGAGUUCGUGUGCGGCUGUCAUGAGUCGCG